GGGGAUGUAGCUCAGUUGGGAGAGCAUCUCGUUCGCAACGAGGGGGUCGUCGGUUCGAUUCCGAUCAUCUCCACCA
Molecule: transfer RNA, 76 nt
Filed under: Candidatus Latescibacterota bacterium
Lineage: Bacteria; Pseudomonadati; Candidatus Latescibacterota
Also listed under: 1 other name
Description: tRNA-Ala
Rfam family: tRNA
About the family: Transfer RNA (tRNA) molecules are approximately 80 nucleotides in length.
Source: RNAcentral